UGGGCGAAAGCCUGAUGCAGCAACGCCGCGUGAGUGAUGAAGGCCUUCGGGUUGUAAAGCUCUGUCUUUUGGGACGAUAAUGACGGUACCAAAGGAGGAAGCCACGGCUAACUACGUGCCAGCAGCCGCGGUAAUACGUAGGUGGCGAGCGUUGUCCGGAUUUACUGGGCGUAAAGGAUGCGUAGGCGGAUUUUUAAGUGAGAUGUGAAAUACCCGAGCUUAACUUGGGUGCUGCAUUUCAAACUGGAAGUCUAGAGUGCGGGAGAGGAGAGUGGAAUUCCUAGUGUAGCGGUGAAAUGCGUAGAGAUUAGGAAGAACACCAGUGGCGAAGGCGACUCUCUGGACCGUAACUGACGCUGAGGCAUGAAAGCGUGGGUAGCAAACAGGAUUAGAUACCCUGGUAGUCCACGCCGUAAACGAUGAGUACUAGGUGUAGGAGGUAUCGACCCCUUCUGUGCCGCAGUUAACACAAUAAGUACUCCGCCUGGGAAGUA
Molecule: ribosomal RNA, 494 nt
Filed under: uncultured bacterium
Lineage: Bacteria
Description: bacterial SSU rRNA
Rfam family: Bacterial small subunit ribosomal RNA
Source: RNAcentral